Molecule: long non-coding RNA, 1235 nt
Organism: Oncorhynchus tshawytscha (Chinook salmon)
Lineage: Eukaryota; Metazoa; Chordata; Actinopteri; Salmoniformes; Salmonidae
Exons: 3
Source: RefSeq, a predicted model, not a curated record
GAUAGCAACAAUGUAACUCUCUGAUGCAGGGGUUAAAUGAAAAUUCCCUUUUGCCUUGUAAGGGACCUCCUAUAUAUACGUCCACCAAAAAUGUUACCGGCAUAAACACAUCAUUACAUAGAUAGAGUUUAUUUCUUCAUUUUCCAAAAAACAAGUUGUAAGCAUACCUGUUUGACAUACACAAUUAUCCUAUCCAUAGAUGUCGGUAUAGCCAAAUACUCCAAUACUGUUGCAUGCACAGAUAUAAUACCUCCGUGUCUGGGUAGGGCUUGGUGUGUUUGACUAAAACCAGGGCUCGAAUUGAGAGAGGGUGUCACAAACCCUUUGUUAAAGAAAAUGGCAAAAAGGAUAUCUAUUGUUUGCUUUAUAUUUUGAAAUAAAUACAUUAAACGUAUCAAGAUUAUAUCAAGCGUUAUAUAACCAUGCUUAACUCGGUGAUGCCUUAUGGUAGAAACAAGCUCUGAAAUGCCCCGGAAAGACGUGACUCCGAUGCAUAUGAGGAUAUAUUGAUUCCUCUCUAUGACAAUCGGAAGCUAAACUGCAGCCUAUAAUAUUCGAGGAGAUACAAUUUAGUCCCUAUUAAUUGAGCUUUUCUCUUUCUGAAAAGAGAAGAUGUUUGUUUAAACCCAGGCAACUUUUAGGGAAGCACUUCUGUUGUUGGAUUAUACAACGGACGAGUAGCCAGCAGUUGAAGUUUACAGUUUUCUGCGUCAAGUAGAGCCUCUGUCUGGGUGGAAAGUGAGUUUGGCGAUCUCCACGGCCAACACAGCCAUACACAGCUCCAGUCUUGGAAUGGUGAGCUCUGGCUGGGGUGUUAGUCUGGCCUUACUAAGGACAACGCCUACAUCGCUGUGACUAUCUUUGUCUGACUUUCAGUUUCACUUAGUCAUUGGCCCGCCCCCAGGAGCACAGACAGGACCUGGCGUCAUGGGAACACCCCCAGGAGCACAGACAGGACCUGGCAUCAUGGGAACAGCCCUUUUCUAUGUUCCCAAUAAAACCCCCACCUGGGUUUUCCCACUUCAGACCGAGCUUACCUCAAUUACGAGGGUUGAGACGAGACCAGUACCUCAUCACAGAGGGCUAAGAGUUGAGCAGAGACCAUAUAUUUCUCUUGCUGAAUUCUUAACCAUACCACGUGGUUAAACUCUUAGACUAUCUAACCGACAGAAUAAGAACAAAUCUUUGAUAGUAAUUACUAGUCUGCGGCUAGGAAUUCGGUAUCAUUGAACGCG